UUCGCCCUUAGAGUUUGAUCCUGGCUCAGGACGAACGCUGGCGGCGUGCUUAACACAUGCAAGUCGAACGGAGCGCCUAUGAAGGAGAUUUCGGUCAACGGAAUAGGUUGCUUAGUGGCGGACGGGUGAGUAACGCGUGAGGAACCUGCCUUUCAGAGGGGGACAACAGUUGGAAACGACUGCUAAUACCGCAUAACACAUAGGUGUCGCAUGGCAUUUAUGUCAAAGAUUUAUCGCUGAAAGAUGGCCUCGCGUCUGAUUAGCUAGUUGGUGAGGUAACGGCUCACCAAGGCGACGAUCAGUAGCCGGACUGAGAGGUUGGCCGGCCACAUUGGGACUGAGAUACGGCCCAGACUCCUACGGGAGGCAGCAGUGGGGAAUAUUGGACAAUGGGCGCAAGCCUGACCCAGCAACGCCGCGUGAAGGAAGAAGGCUUUCGGGUUGUAAACUUCUUUUGACAGGGAAGAGUAGAAGACGGUACCUGUCGAAUAAGCCACGGCUAACUACGUGCCAGCAGCCGCGGUAAUACGUAGGUGGCAAGCGUUGUCCGGAUUUACUGGGUGUAAAGGGCGUGUAGCCGUGUUGACAAGUCAGAUGUGAAAUCCUGCGGCUUAACCGCAGAACUGCAUUUGAAACUGUUGAUCUUGAGUACUGGAGAGGCAGACGGAAUUCCUAGUGUAGCGGUGAAAUGCGUAGAUAUAAGGAGGAACACCAGUGGCGAAAGGGGUCUGCUGGACAGCAACUGACGGUGAAGGCCGAAAACGGGGGGAGCAAACAGGAUUAGAUACCCUGGGUAGCCCACGCUGUAAACGAAGGGAAACUAAGGGUGCGGGGACUGACCCCCUGCGUGCCGCAAGCUAACGCAAUAAGUAUCCCACGUGGGGAGGACGAUCGCAAGGUUGAAACUCAAAGGAAUUGACGGGGGCCCGCACAAGCGGUGGAUUAUGUGGUUUAAUUCGAUGCAACGCGAAGAACCUUACCAGGGCUUGACAUCCUACUAACGAAGUAGAGAUACAUUAGGUACCCUUCGGGGAAGUAGAGACAGGUGGUGCAUGGUUGUCGUCAGCUCGUGUCGUGAGAUGUUGGGUUAAGUCCCGCAACGAGCGCAACCCUUAUUGUUAGUUGCUACGCAAGAGCACUCUAGCGAGACUGCCGUUGACAAAACGGAGGAAGGUGGGGACGACGUCAAAUCAUCAUGCCCCUUAUGUCCUGGGCUACACACGUAAUACAAUGGCGGCCAACAGAGGGAUGCAAAGCUGUGAAGUGGAGCGAACCCCUAAAAGCCGUCCCAGUUCAGAUUGCAGUCUGCAACUCGACUGCAUGAAGUCGGAAUCGCUAGUAAUCGCGGAUCAGCAUGCCGCGGUGAAUACGAUCCCGGGCCUUGCACUCACCGCCCGUCA
Molecule: ribosomal RNA, 1400 nt
Filed under: uncultured bacterium
Lineage: Bacteria
Description: 16S ribosomal RNA
Rfam family: Bacterial small subunit ribosomal RNA
Source: RNAcentral